AUGGCUGCCUUCCACCUCCUCUUCGUCCUCGUGCUUGCGCUCGCCGCCAGCAGCAGUGCCAGCGUAGUGGCCGCCGCAGACGACGAUGACGUGCGGCUGCGGCAGGAGGUCAUGAUGCAGGCCCUCGGGGUGAAGCAGGCGCUCGCCGUGCUGAACCGUGAGGUCGAGGCCCGCCCACAGCAGUGGAAGCCCAUCUUCAAGGCCCUUGACAAGGUGAUGGACAGUGGUGCCGACGACCGCAGUAGGGCGGAGGCGUCCACCGAGCUCAAGGUGCUGCUCGACCGCGAGCUCGGCCCGUGCCCGGACAGCCUCAGAAGGGACCUCGGAAUCGGUGAUCUGUAA
Molecule: ribosomal RNA, 342 nt
Filed under: Triticum aestivum (bread wheat)
Lineage: Eukaryota; Viridiplantae; Streptophyta; Magnoliopsida; Poales; Poaceae
Description: partial small subunit ribosomal RNA
Source: RNAcentral